Misgurnus anguillicaudatus (oriental weatherfish) is the source of this 670-nucleotide non-coding RNA. The record is from RefSeq and is a predicted model, not a curated record. NCBI's taxonomy places the organism in Eukaryota, Metazoa, Chordata, Actinopteri, Cypriniformes, Cobitidae.
UCAAAAAAUAAUUGAAUUGAGGCUUUUUAUAUACAUUUAGUAUUUUUUAUUAAAAUUCAUAAUGAGCAUAUGUGUACAUUGAUUUAAAACAGUAUUCAAGACUGUAGAUUUACUGUGAGGUUUUGAAUGUUGGACAGACCAUCAGACCUGCAUCUGCCUCGGACAUGUUGAUGUUUAGCUGAUGACAAUUUUAAAUAAAAAAUGUUUUAGGUAACUUACUCUCCAUUCUACCUUGCAGGUCACACCAUGGUCUCAAGAGUGAAAAUGAGUGCUCUAUGGAUUGAACAGGAAAGGUGAAUCAAAACUCCAACCAUCUGUAUGAGGGUCUGGAUAAAGGAUGCCCACUGGAGCUGGAAAUGAUGGAUCAGGUGGAUCCACACUUUAACCAUCUGUAUGAUGAUCUGCACCCACUGGAGCUGUAAAUGGUUGAGCAGGUUUCUGAAUUGAUGUCAGAUGCAAAGCAGAAGCUUAUUUUCUUCCAGUUUGGCUGCAUUGUGGAAAAUGCUGGAAACUAAAAUGCAGAACAUGAUGCACGAUGGGAUGCACAAAGUGAUAUUUGGACGCAGCCUCAGUCUGUCAGAUCAAAGAGACAUACAGAAUGCACAGAGCAGUGGGACUCCAUGAACAGAGUUGAGAACCACUGGUGUAACUCAUUAUGCUUACCUGACUC